Patella vulgata (common limpet) is the source of this 827-nucleotide long non-coding RNA. RefSeq lists it as uncharacterized. The transcript has 6 exons. Lineage: Eukaryota; Metazoa; Mollusca; Gastropoda; Patellidae. The record is from RefSeq and is a predicted model, not a curated record.
UGUAAUUUUCUCCAAUCGCUUUAACAUUAAGAUCAUAGUUAUGCUGUACUUGGUAGUAGCCGUCCUGUUUGGAUUCGCAACAGCUGAGCCAACACGGCCUGGAUGCUGUGUUCCACCUCAAUGGGAAGGUAUCGAAGGAAGCAUUAUCGGGAUGGUACGAGAUGGUGUCUCAUCGGUAACUGAUACACAGACAUUAAUAUCAUAUGAUGAAACAAACCAAAUGAUCUUGGCCAACACAUACACUGAAGCUGCUGGACAAAAAAUUAAUGUGAAGGUCCUACAGGACUUUAACAAGGGUAUGCAAUAUGUGAUAAAUGUCGACCAGAAAACAUGUACAGGAACACCGAUGCCAGGACCAUUCACAAAAGUUUGUCUACCAGCUGAUGCUGAAGUUCUAGGAAACAUUUAUUUUGGUAUUGGAGACAAUAGAUUUGACGCCCUUUCUUUCAGGGCAACAGUUAACAACACUAGAGUCACUGUAGUUACUACCCCUGAGGAUUGUAUUCCUGUAUUGGAAACUCUUGCAGGAAAUUUCAGUGGAGCGCCAACAAUGGAUACCAUUGGCUUUGUCAAUCUGACACCUGGAAUCAGGGAUCCAGCUGUCUUUGAUGUACCAUCUUUCUGUACACAGAAAAAGCCAACUGGAUUUGUCAAAAUUCAUCAGAAAAGAGGCGUUCUAGUAUUUUAAUACAGCUGAAGAAUACAAACCUUUGUUAGUUAUAUGACGGAACUCCCCAAUAAAUACUUACUGGUCUGUUUUGAAUGUUUAUCAUUAGUGUAUGUGUCGAUUUACUAAAGUAAUACAUUUUGGCAGCAUCUGUUUUAAU